UGUGAGCUCGAUGAGUAGGGCGGGACACGUGGUAUCCUGUCUGAAUAUGGGGGGACCAUCCUCCAAGGCUAAAUACUCCUGACUGACCGAUAGUGAACCAGUACCGUGAGGGAAAGGCGAAAAGAACCCCGGCGAGGGGAGUGAAAAAGAACCUGAAACCGUGUACGUACAAGCAGUGGGAGCACGCUUAGGCGUGUGACUGCGUACCUUUUGUAUAAUGGGUCAGCGACUUAUAUUCUGUAGCAAGGUUAACCGAAUAGGGGAGCCGAAGGGAAACCGAGUCUUAACUGGGCGUUAAGUUGCAGGGUAUAGACCCGAAACCCGGUGAUCUAGCCAUGGGCAGGUUGAAGGUUGGGUAACACUAACUGGAGGACCGAACCGACUAAUGUUGAAAAAUUAGCGGAUGACUUGUGGCUGGGGGUGAAAGGCCAAUCAAACCGGGAGAUAGCUGGUUCUCCCCGAAAGCUAUUUAGGUAGCGCCUCGUGAAUUCAUCUCCGGGGGUAGAGCACUGUUUCGGCAAGGGGGUCAUCCCGACUUACCAACCCGAUGCAAACUGCGAAUACCGGAGAAUGUUAUCACGGGAGACACACGGCGGGUGCUAACGUCCGUCGUGAAGAGGGAAACAACCCAGACCGCCAGCUAAGGUCCCAAAGUCAUGGUUAAGUGGGAAACGAUGUGGGAAGGCCCAGACAGCCAGGAUGUUGGCUUAGAAGCAGCCAUCAUUUAAAGAAAGCGUAAUAGCUCACUGGUCGAGUCGGCCUGCGCGGAAGAUGUAACGGGGCUAAACCAUGCACCGAAGCUGCGGCAGCGACGCUUAUGCGUUGUUGGGUAGGGGAGCGUUCUGUAAGCCUGCGAAGGUGUGCUGUGAGGCAUGCUGGAGGUAUCAGAAGUGCGAAUGCUGACAUAAGUAACGAUAAAGCGGGUGAAAAGCCCGCUCGCCGGAAGACCAAGGGUUCCUGUCCAACGUUAAUCGGGGCAGGGUGAGUCGACCCCUAAGGCGAGGCCGAAAGGCGUAGUCGAUGGGAAACAGGUUAAUAUUCCUGUACUUGGUGUUACUGCGAAGGGGGGACGGAGAAGGCUAUGUUGGCCGGGCGACGGUUGUCCCGGUUUAAGCGUGUAGGCUGGUUUUCCAGGCAAAUCCGGAAAAUCAAGGCUGAGGCGUGAUGACGAGGCACUACGGUGCUGAAGCAACAAAUGCCCUGCUUCCAGGAAAAGCCUCUAAGCAUCAGGUAACAUCAAAUCGUACCCCAAACCGACACAGGUGGUCAGGUAGAGAAUACCAAGGCGCUUGAGAGAACUCGGGUGAAGGAACUAGGCAAAAUGGUGCCGUAACUUCGGGAGAAGGCACGCUGAUAUGUAGGUGAAGUCCCUCGCGGAUGGAGCUGAAAUCAGUCGAAGAUACCAGCUGGCUGCAACUGUUUAUUAAAAACACAGCACUGUGCAAACACGAAAGUGGACGUAUACGGUGUGACGCCUGCCCGGUGCCGGAAGGUUAAUUGAUGGGGUUAGCGCAAGCGAAGCUCUUGAUCGAAGCCCCGGUAAACGGCGGCCGUAACUAUAACGGUCCUAAGGUAGCGAAAUUCCUUGUCGGGUAAGUUCCGACCUGCACGAAUGGCGUAAUGAUGGCCAGGCUGUCUCCACCCGAGACUCAGUGAAAUUGAACUCGCUGUGAAGAUGCAGUGUACCCGCGGCAAGACGGAAAGACCCCGUGAACCUUUACUAUAGCUUGACACUGAACAUUGAGCCUUGAUGUGUAGGAUAGGUGGGAGGCUUUGAAGUGUGGACGCCAGUCUGCAUGGAGCCGACCUUGAAAUACCACCCUUUAAUGUUUGAUGUUCUAACGUUGACCCGU
This 1853-nucleotide ribosomal RNA is filed under the name Escherichia coli. RNAcentral describes it as "partial 23S ribosomal RNA". It matches the Rfam family "Bacterial large subunit ribosomal RNA", at positions 398 to 2236 of the family's 2925-position model. The record is from RNAcentral. Lineage: Bacteria; Pseudomonadati; Pseudomonadota; Gammaproteobacteria; Enterobacterales; Enterobacteriaceae.